UAGUUAUGUUCUUUAAACUUAAAGAAUUUGGCGGUGUUUUAUCUAUUCAGAGGAAUUUGCCCAUUAAUCGAUAAUCCUCGUUUUAUCUUACUUGAUUUUGUUUAUCAGUAUGUAUAUCGCUGUUAUAAGUUUAUUUUUUUAGAAUAAGAAUUUACUUUAUUUAUUAUUUUGAUUUAUUUCAAGUCAAGGUGCAGCUAAUAAUUAAGUAUGGGGUGAAUUACAAUAUUUAUUUGAAUAUAUGGAUUUAUUACUUGAAAUGUUUUUUAAAAGUGGAUUUGUUAGUAAUUUUAAUUAUAAUGUUAUUUUGAUUUUAGUUCUAAAAUAAGUACACAUCGCCCGGCGCUCUA
RNAcentral lists this ribosomal RNA (347 nucleotides) under Orthonecroscia keatsooni. Its description in RNAcentral is "partial small subunit ribosomal RNA". The record is from RNAcentral. Lineage: Eukaryota; Metazoa; Arthropoda; Insecta; Phasmatodea; Lonchodidae.